UACGGAGGGUGCAAGCGUUAUCCGGAUUCACUGGGUUUAAAGCGCGCGUAGGCGGCUACUUAAGUCGGAUGUGAAAGCCCCUGGCUCAACUGGGGAAGUGCACCCGAAACUGAGUGGCUUGAGUACUAAAGAGGGUCGCGGAAUUCCCGGUGUAGAGGUGAAAUUCGUAGAUAUCAGGAGGAACACCGGUGGCGAAGGCGGUUCUCUGGGCAUGAUCUGACGCUGAGGAGCGAAAGUGUGGGGAGCGAACAGG
RNAcentral lists this ribosomal RNA (253 nucleotides) under uncultured bacterium. RNAcentral describes it as "partial 16S ribosomal RNA". It matches the Rfam family "Bacterial small subunit ribosomal RNA", at positions 524 to 776 of the family's 1533-position model. The record is from RNAcentral.